GCCGGACACGGUGGCUCGUGCCUGUAGUCCCAGCUACCCAGGAGGCUGAGGCAGGAGGAUCGCUUGAGUCCAGGAGUUCUGGGCUGUAGUGCGCUAUGCCGAUCGGGUGUCCGCACUAAGUUCUGCAUCAAUAUGGUGACCUCCCGGGAGCGGGGGGACCACCAGGUUGCCUAAGGAGGGGUGAACCUGCCCAGGUCAGAAUGGCAGAUAGCUAUUGUAAUACACGGUGGAGAACAAAAACAACUAGUCGGCUGGAAGGUAACCAUUUGCAUAU
RNAcentral lists this signal recognition particle RNA (274 nucleotides) under Microcebus murinus (gray mouse lemur). RNAcentral describes it as "Metazoan signal recognition particle RNA (ENSMICG00000034653.2)". It matches the Rfam family "Metazoan signal recognition particle RNA", at positions 1 to 267 of the family's 299-position model. Rfam says of the family: The signal recognition particle (SRP) is a universally conserved ribonucleoprotein. It is involved in the co-translational targeting of proteins to membranes. Lineage: Eukaryota; Metazoa; Chordata; Mammalia; Primates; Cheirogaleidae. The record is from RNAcentral.